Molecule: long non-coding RNA, 281 nt
Organism: Gossypium arboreum
Lineage: Eukaryota; Viridiplantae; Streptophyta; Magnoliopsida; Malvales; Malvaceae
Exons: 2
Source: RefSeq, a predicted model, not a curated record
CUAUAGAAGGUCUGGAGAAAGCUGGUUUUUCAUAUUUUUACAUCAUAUCAAGAAUCCAAAGAAGAACGAGGAAAAGAAAAAGUUGCGGAGUAGUCCCUAAAUUUCAAUAUCUUCUACAAAUUAGCCGGAUUGACUUGAAGUGAAGUGGGUAGAUCGGAUCAACACAACAAAGCACACUAUCCAGAUCAAUUCUGGUAGCUUUUGUUUUAUGUUUGAAGAUUUAUAUGGCAUGUAUAGAGUUUAAAUGAAAUGAAGUAAAGAUGUUAUAAACUAGUUAACAA